This 253-nucleotide ribosomal RNA is filed under the name uncultured bacterium. RNAcentral describes it as "partial 16S ribosomal RNA". It matches the Rfam family "Bacterial small subunit ribosomal RNA", at positions 524 to 776 of the family's 1533-position model. The record is from RNAcentral.
UACGUAGGGUGCAAGCGUUGUCCGGAAUUAUUGGGCGUAAAGGGCGCGUAGGCGGUCCAUCGCGUCGGGAGUGAAAAGCUGGGGCUCAACCCCAGUCCUGCUUUCGAUACGGGUGGACUAGAGGUAGGCAGGGGAGAACGGAAUUCCUGGUGUAGCGGUGAAAUGCGCAGAUAUCAGGAGGAACACCGGUGGCGAAGGCGGUUCUCUGGGCCUUACCUGACGCUGAGGCGCGAAAGCUAGGGGAGCGAACAGG